GGCUAAGUUGGUGACAGCGGCCGCGGUAAUAGUGAGGUGGCAGGUGUGGUUGGGAUGGACUUGGCGGACAGGGAGCGUAGGCGGUUGGAGACGCCCUCCGUGAAAUCUCCAGGCUGAACCUGGAAAGGGCAGAGGGGACUGUUCAGCUAGAGGAUGGGAGAGGAGCGCGGAAUGCCCGGUGUAGCGGUGAAAUGCGUAGAGAUCGGGAGGAAGGCCGGUGGCGAAGGCGGCGCUCUGGAACAUUUCUGACGCUGAGGCUCGAAAGCGUGGGGAGCAAACAGGAUUAGAUACCCGGGAGUC
Molecule: ribosomal RNA, 300 nt
Filed under: uncultured Avibacterium sp.
Lineage: Bacteria; Pseudomonadati; Pseudomonadota; Gammaproteobacteria; Pasteurellales; Pasteurellaceae
Description: bacterial SSU rRNA
Rfam family: Bacterial small subunit ribosomal RNA
Source: RNAcentral